Molecule: ribosomal RNA, 249 nt
Filed under: uncultured Actinomycetales bacterium
Lineage: Bacteria; Bacillati; Actinomycetota; Actinomycetes; Actinomycetales
Description: partial 16S ribosomal RNA
Rfam family: Bacterial small subunit ribosomal RNA
Source: RNAcentral
CGGAGGUACUCGAGUGGCGAACGGGUGAGUAACACGUGGGUGAUCUGCCCUGCACUCUGGGAUAAGCCUGGGAAACUGGGUCUAAUACCGGAUAGGACCAUGCUUUAGUGUGUGUGGUGGAAAGUUUUUUCGGUGUAGGAUGAGCCCGCGGCCUAUCAGCUUGUUGGUGGGGUAAUGGCCUACCAAGGCGGCGACGGGUAGCCGGACUGAGGGGUUGGUCGGCCACAUUGGGACUGAGAUACGGCCCAG